UCAUUCGUGCAAUGUGUAUACGAGAAGUGAAGGACAUCAUAGUUGCUGAAAUGAUUGGAAUCGGUUCGUGGAUGCUCCACAUUCUGAGAUUAAAUUAAUUAAUUAUGUUUUUCUGAUGUUAAAUCACAGUGUGGAUACAGAAAUGAAUUGUCAUAUUACUGGAUCUUUGAUCCCACCCCAGACUGGAUCCAUGCGUUGGCUGUCAGCACACGAUGCUGAAUAUGCUUCACAAAUCAACAGUGGUAAAAGGAAGUCAAGGGAUAUCAGCAUCAAAAUUGAGCAGAAUGAACAAGAACACAGAAUACUCCAGAACGAAAAUAGCAUGGUAAAAUCUGAACGGCCACACAAGUCCCGAAAGAGGAGCAUUGAGGACCGAUAAUUCAUUGAGGUUGUGAAGAAUUUUGUAUGAAUACAAGAAUGUUGCUGGAUAGUUGAGAAAACUAAGCAAAGGGUGAUGAAGGCCAAGCACUUGUAUGUGGAAGUAAUGUUUUCCUUCAAUGAUUCUGCUGUCUUUUAAUGCUUUUUUGGGGAGAAGAUGCAUCUCCAGUUCAAGGAGUGGUGCUUAGCCUAUUCAGAACAUGCUUCCCCAGUUGCUUUAGAGAAGUGUACGAUGAUGUAAAACAAUGAUGAUUGCAUUUGUAAGAGGUCCACUUUGCCCACCAAACAGUUACUGAUCUCAUCGAAGAAACUAAUGUUUAAUGGCAAACGAGGCUGCUUUUUUUGGUGGUA
This is a long non-coding RNA of Setaria italica (foxtail millet), 729 nucleotides long. RefSeq lists it as uncharacterized. NCBI's taxonomy places the organism in Eukaryota, Viridiplantae, Streptophyta, Magnoliopsida, Poales, Poaceae. The transcript is spliced from 2 exons. The record is from RefSeq and is a predicted model, not a curated record.